AGAGUUUGAUCCUGGCUCAGAACGAACGCUGGCGGCAUGCCUAACACAUGCAAGUCGAACGAACCCUUCGGGGUGAGUGGCGCACGGGUGCGUAACGCGUGGGAACCUGCCUUUAGGUUCGGAAUAACAGUUAGAAAUGACUGCUAAUACCGGAUAAUGUCUUCGGACCAAAGAUUUAUCGCCUUUAGAUGGGCCCGCGUUAGAUUAGAUAGUUGGUGGGGUAAUGGCCUACCAAGUCGACGAUCUAUAGCUGGUCUGAGAGGAUGAUCAGCCACACUGGGACUGAGACACGGCCCAGACUCCUACGGGAGGCAGCAGUGGGGAAUAUUGGACAAUGGGCGAAAGCCUGAUCCAGCAAUGCCGCGUGAGUGAUGAAGGCCUUAGGGUUGUAAAGCUCUUUUACCAGGGAUGAUAAUGACAGUACCUGGAGAAUAAGCUCCGGCUAACUCCGUGCCAGCAGCCGCGGUAAUACGGAGGGAGCUAGCGUUGUUCGGAAUUACUGGGCGUAAAGCGCACGUAGGCGGCUUUUCAAGUCAGGGGUGAAAUCCCGGGGCUCAACCUCGGAACUGCCCUUGAAACUGGAUGGCUAGAAUACUGGAGAGGUGAGUGGAAUUCCCAGUGUAGAGGUGAAAUUCGUAGAUAUUGGGAAGAACACCGGUGGCGAAGGCGGCUACCUGGACCGGUACUGACGCUGAGGUGCGAAAGCGUGGGGAGCGAACAGGAUUAGAUACCCUGGUAGUCCACGCCGUAAACGAUGAGUGCUAGUUGUUGGAGGGCAUGCCUUUCAGUGACGCAGCUAACGCAUUAAGCACUCCGCCUGGGGAG
Molecule: ribosomal RNA, 825 nt
Filed under: marine metagenome
Description: bacterial SSU rRNA
Rfam family: Bacterial small subunit ribosomal RNA
Source: RNAcentral